GACGAACGCUGGCGGCGUGCUUAACACAUGCAAGUCGAACGGAAAGGCCCUGCUUGCAGGGUACUCGAGUGGCGAACGGGUGAGUAACACGUGGGUGAUCUGCCCUGCACUUCGGGAUAAGCCUGGGAAACUGGGUCUAAUACCGGAUAGGAGCCAUUUUUAGUGUGAUGGUUGGAAAGUUUUUUCGGUGUAGGAUGAGCUCGCGGCCUAUCAGCUUGUUGGUGGGGUAAUGGCCUACCAAGGCGGCGACGGGUAGCCGGCCUGAGAGGGUGGACGGCCACAUUGGGACUGAGAUACGGCCCAGACUCCUACGGUAGGCAGCAGUGGGGAAUAUUGCACAAUGGGCGCAAGCCUGAUGCAGCGACGCCGCGUGGGGGAUGACGGCCUUCGGGUUGUAAACUCCUUUCGCUAGGGACGAAGCUUUUUGUGACGGUACCUAGAUAAGAAGCACCGGCUAACUACGUG
RNAcentral lists this ribosomal RNA (465 nucleotides) under uncultured bacterium. Its description in RNAcentral is "partial 16S ribosomal RNA". It matches the Rfam family "Bacterial small subunit ribosomal RNA", at positions 28 to 507 of the family's 1533-position model. The record is from RNAcentral.